GUUAAGUUGCAGGGUAUAGACCCGAAACCCGGUGAUCUAGCCAUGGGCAGGUUGAAGGUUGGGUAACACUAACUGGAGGACCGAACCGACUAAUGUUGAAAAAUUAGCGGAUGACCUGUGGCUGGGGGUGAAAGGCCAAUCAAACCGGGAGAUAGCUGGUUCUCCCCGAAAGCUAUUUAGGUAGCGCCUCGUGAAUUCAUCUCCGGGGGUAGAGCACUGUUUCGGCUAGGGGGCCAUCCCGGCUUACCAACCCGAUGCAAACUGCGAAUACCGGAGAAUGUUAUCACGGGAGACACACGGCGGGUGCUAACGUCCGUCGUGAAGAGGGAAACAACCCAGACCGCCAGCUAAGGUCCCAAAGUCAUGGUUAAGUGGGAAACGAUGUGGGAAGGCCCAGACAGCCAGGAUGUUGGCUUAGAAGCAGCCAUCAUUUAAAGAAAGCGUAAUAGCUCACUGGUCGAGUCGGCCUGCGCGGAAGAUGUAACGGGGCUAAACCAUGCACCGAAGCUGCGGCAGCGAACGUAUCACCCAAGACAACUUUACGGAGUUGACGAUUGACGGAGCGAAGCGACGUCAAAGCGUUCAUUAAAGUCGAGUUGGCUUAGGGAUACGUUCGUUGGGUAGGGGAGCGUUCUGUAAGCCUGUGAAGGUGUGUCGUGAGGCAUGCUGGAGGUAUCAGAAGUGCGAAUGCUGACAUAAGUAACGAUAAAGCGGGUGAAAAGCCCGCUCGCCGGAAGACCAAGGGUUCCUGUCCAACGUUAAUCGGGGCAGGGUGAGUCGACCCCUAAGGCGAGGCCGAAAGGCGUAGUCGAUGGGAAACGGGUUAAUAUUCCCGUACUUGGUGUUACUGCGAAGGGGGGACGGAGAAGGCUAUGUUGGCCGGGCGACGGUUGUCCCGGUUUAAGCGUGUAGGUGUGUGUUCCAGGUAAAUCCGGUUCACUUUAACACUGAGGCGUGA
RNAcentral lists this ribosomal RNA (958 nucleotides) under Salmonella enterica subsp. enterica serovar Typhimurium. RNAcentral describes it as "partial 23S ribosomal RNA". It matches the Rfam family "Bacterial large subunit ribosomal RNA", at positions 694 to 1566 of the family's 2925-position model. The record is from RNAcentral. Lineage: Bacteria; Pseudomonadati; Pseudomonadota; Gammaproteobacteria; Enterobacterales; Enterobacteriaceae.